AGAAAGCUGUAGGGAGGAUUCUGAGCUUGCUUCUUCUAGGAACUUUGCUCCCCUUCGGAUACUGAAAGCCUCUAUCCGGCCACCUCAGAUCCUUCUCUUCUCCAGGAUGAAUAGCCCCAGCUCUCAGCCUGUCCUCAUAGGAGAGGUGUUGGAUCAUUUUUGUGCCCUUCCCUGGAUGCUCUCUAGCAGGUCUACAUCUGUAGUACUGAGGACUCCACAUCUGGAUCCAGCACUCCAGGUGCGGCAUCAUCAGUGCAGUAAGACUUUUACAGUAAGACACAUUGUUCAGACCCGUAAUUACUGCUGCUACUCCUUUCUUGAGUUUCGUAUCAUUACUGAG
RNAcentral lists this long non-coding RNA (340 nucleotides) under Gallus gallus (chicken). RNAcentral describes it as "lncRNA (ENSGALG00010025803.1)". Lineage: Eukaryota; Metazoa; Chordata; Aves; Galliformes; Phasianidae. The record is from RNAcentral.